This 425-nucleotide ribosomal RNA is filed under the name uncultured bacterium. Its description in RNAcentral is "partial 16S ribosomal RNA". It matches the Rfam family "Bacterial small subunit ribosomal RNA", at positions 354 to 796 of the family's 1533-position model. The record is from RNAcentral.
GUGGGGAAUCUUGCGCAAUGGGCGAAAGCCUGACGCAGCCAUGCCGCGUGAAUGAUGAAGGUCUUAGGAUUGUAAAAUUCUUUCACCGGGGACGAUAAUGACGGUACCCGGAGAAGAAGCUCCGGCUAACUUCGUGCCAGCAGCCGCGGUAAUACGAAGGGGGCUAGCGUUGCUCGGAAUUACUGGGCGUAAAGGGCGCGUCGGCGGACAGCUUAGUCAGAGGUGAAAGCCCAGGGCUCAACCUUGGAAUUGCCUUUGCUACUGGCUGUCUUGAGUUUGGGAGAGGUGAGUGGAACUCCGAGUGUAGAGGUGAAAUUCGUAGAUAUUCGGAAGAACACCAGUGGCGAAGGCGACUCACUGGCCCAAUACUGACGCUGAGGCGCGAAAGCGUGGGGAGCAAACAGGAUUAGAAACCCCAGUAGUCC